GACCUGGUAGCUCAGUAGGUAGAGCACCUCCCUUUUAAGGAGGUGGUCCUGGGUUCGAGCCCCAGCCAGGUCA
This 73-nucleotide transfer RNA is filed under the name Flavobacteriaceae bacterium. RNAcentral's name for it is "tRNA-Lys". It matches the Rfam family "tRNA". From Rfam's summary of the family: Transfer RNA (tRNA) molecules are approximately 80 nucleotides in length. Their secondary structure includes four short double-helical elements and three loops (D, anti-codon, and T loops). The record is from RNAcentral. Lineage: Bacteria; Pseudomonadati; Bacteroidota; Flavobacteriia; Flavobacteriales; Flavobacteriaceae. RNAcentral also lists the same sequence under 2 other names.